AAGUCUGGAAGUCCUCUCUGAAGCACUUCCUGGGGAAUGCAAAGGAGGAGGCCCCUGCCCUCUGAGAGCUCAAGAUCUGGCAGGCAGGAAAAAGAUACACACACGACAGGACAUACGGGUUCAUGCAGGAGAAGCCUGAGGACAGCAGCUGAAGGUCUUCACACGCUAUGGAAAGUGCUACACGUUCAACUCGGGCCGAGAUGGGCGGCCGCGGCUGAAGACCAUGAAGGGUGGGACGGGCAAUGGGCUGGAAAUCAUGCUGGACAUCCAGCAGGACGAGUACCUGCCUGUGUGGGGGGAGACUGACGAGACGUCCUUCGAAGCAGGCAUCAAAGUGCAGAUCCAUAGUCAGGAUGAACCUCCUUUCAUCGACCAGCUGGGCUUUGGCGUGGCCCCAGGCUUCCAGACCUUUGUGGCCUGCCAGGAGCAGCGGCUCAUCUACCUGCCCCCGCCCUGGGGCACCUGCAAAGCUGUUACCAUGGACUCGGAUUUGGAUUUCUUCGACUCCUACAGCAUCACUGCCUGCCGCAUCGACUGUGAGACGCGCUACCUGGUGGAGAACUGCAACUGCCGCAUGGUGCACAUGCCAGGGGAUGCCCCAUACUGUACACCAGAGCAGUACAAGGAGUGUGCAGAUCCUGCUCUGGACUUCCUGGUGGAGAAGGACCAGGAGUACUGCGUGUGUGAAAUGCCUUGCAACCUGACCCGCUAUGGCAAGGAGCUGUCCAUGGUCAAGAUCCCCAGCAAAGCCUCAGCCAAGUACCUGGCCAAGAAGUUCAACAAAUCUGAGCAAUACAUAGGGCAGGUAUCUCCGUCAGCAACUCAUUUUAUGGAUAUGGAAACUGAGAUUCAGAGAGGCUGCCUUGCCAAGGUCACCUGGUUAGUAAGAGGUAGAGAUAUGACUUGAACUUAGGUCUCCUCCCCCAAUCCCUGUGCAGGGAGAACAUCCUGGUGCUGGACAUUUUCUUUGAAGUCCUCAACUAUGAGACCAUUGAACAGAAGAAGGCCUAUGAGAUUGCAGGGCUCCUGGGUGAGCUGCUGAUGACACCUGUCCCCUUCCCAUGCCAUGGGCAUGGCGUGGCUCCCUAUCAUCCAAAAGCAGGGUGCUCACUUCUGUCCCAUGAGGGUCCUCCACCCCAGAGGCCCUUCCCCAAACCCUGUUGUCUUGGUAAGUGGUGAGGGAAGGGAACUGAGCCUUCUCUUAGGGCAAAGUGGAAAAGAGA
This 1223-nucleotide small RNA is filed under the name Pongo abelii (Sumatran orangutan). Its description in RNAcentral is "retained intron". The record is from RNAcentral. Lineage: Eukaryota; Metazoa; Chordata; Mammalia; Primates; Hominidae.